AGCGUGCGCAGGCGGUUAUGUAAGAACAGAUGUGAAAUCCCCGGGCCUCAACCUGGGAACUGCAUUUGUGACUGUAUAGCUGGAGUGCGGCAGAGGGGGAUGGAAUUCCGCGUGUAGCAGUGAAAUGCGUAGAUAUGCGGAGGAACACCGAUGGCGAAGGCAAUCCCCUGGGCCUGCACUGACGCUCAUGCACGAAAGCGUGGGGAGCAAACAGGAUUAGAUACCCUUGU
RNAcentral lists this ribosomal RNA (230 nucleotides) under uncultured bacterium. RNAcentral's name for it is "partial 16S ribosomal RNA". It matches the Rfam family "Bacterial small subunit ribosomal RNA", at positions 564 to 791 of the family's 1533-position model. The record is from RNAcentral.